Molecule: ribosomal RNA, 202 nt
Filed under: uncultured bacterium
Lineage: Bacteria
Description: partial 16S ribosomal RNA
Rfam family: Bacterial small subunit ribosomal RNA
Source: RNAcentral
UACAGAGGGUGCCGAGCGGUUGUUCGGAAUUAUUGGGCGUAAAGGGCGCGUAGGCGGUGCGGUAAGUCACCUGUGAAAUCUCCUGGCUCAACUGGGAGCUUGCAGGCGAAACUGCCGUGCUGGAGUGUGGGAGAGGUGCGUGGAAUUCCUGGUGUAGCGGUGAAAUGCGUAGAUAUCAGGAGGAACACCUGUGGCGAAAGCG